This is a long non-coding RNA of Gasterosteus aculeatus aculeatus (three-spined stickleback), 471 nucleotides long. The record is from Ensembl. NCBI's taxonomy places the organism in Eukaryota, Metazoa, Chordata, Actinopteri, Perciformes, Gasterosteidae.
CACCGAGGGUCCCUGCUUUGCUUGGAGAAGACGUAUCAACGCCACUCGCAUUCUGCCCCACGCCGGCGCUCACAGAGUGCUUUAGGUCACUCUUUCCUAAUUUGGAUCAAUUAUCCCACUUCCCUGCUCUGACACAGCGUUUCUCAUUCAGCAUAAUGCCCGGUCUCACACUCGCGUCAGGGGGACUGAAUGUUCUCUGCUGUCCGAGGCCCAUCCGAAAUUCAAAUAUUGCCUCAUUGCAGAGUCUCGAUAAUAUUGACUUUCACUUAGUCUGCAGAGGCGGCGGGGAUAUAUUUGGAACAGGAAUGUGUAAUUUUUUUGAUGCUGAAGGUAAUGCUGGGGUCUGUAAAUCCCCUGUGAAUUCCAGCCAAACAUCAUUUCAGCCAGAGUCUAAGAUGAAGCACUUGUUUUUGUUAUCAAUUAGACAUUAAUGUUUGCUAAUGUGACUGCUUUUUAAUUAGCACAGUUAUA